UACAGAGGGUGCGAGCGUUAAUCGGAAUUACUGGGCGUAAAGGGCUCGUAGGCGGCCAACUAAGUCAGACGUGAAAUCCCUCGGCUUAACCGGGGAACUGCGUCUGAUACUGGAUGGCUAGAGGUUGGGAGAGGGAUGCGGAAUUCCAGGUGUAGCGGUGAAAUGCGUAGAUAUCUGGAGGAACACCGGUGGCGAAGGCGGCAUCCUGGACCAAUUCUGACGCUGAGGAGCGAAAGCCAGGGGAGCAAACGGG
Molecule: ribosomal RNA, 253 nt
Filed under: uncultured bacterium
Lineage: Bacteria
Description: partial 16S ribosomal RNA
Rfam family: Bacterial small subunit ribosomal RNA
Source: RNAcentral